ACGAUUUCCCCUCAAUAAUAACACCAAAAUAAUAAAUAAAUACAUUACCACUUCUGCAUUUCAACCGCUUCGUUUGAUGUACUAGUUACCAAACUAGUACAUAUAUAAAAUGCAAUAGAAACAUUUUUGUAAAUACAUGUUAUCAAAAAAAAAAAAAGUAUUAAAUACAGCUGUAGACUUUAUUUCAAAUAACACUAUAAUAGUCAUAGUAUUAAAAAAAAAAACUCUCAUAGUCAUAUAGGCUAACCACUUAAAAC
This is a long non-coding RNA of Quercus lobata, 257 nucleotides long. RefSeq lists it as uncharacterized. The transcript has 2 exons. NCBI's taxonomy places the organism in Eukaryota, Viridiplantae, Streptophyta, Magnoliopsida, Fagales, Fagaceae. The record is from RefSeq and is a predicted model, not a curated record.